GCCCGAAUGGCGAAAUCGGUAGACGCAAGGGACUUAAAAUUCCUCGGCCGCAAGGUCGUGCCGGUUCGAGUCCGGCUUCGGGCACCA
This 87-nucleotide transfer RNA is filed under the name Nevskia sp. RNAcentral's name for it is "tRNA-Leu". It matches the Rfam family "tRNA". From Rfam's summary of the family: Transfer RNA (tRNA) molecules are approximately 80 nucleotides in length. Their secondary structure includes four short double-helical elements and three loops (D, anti-codon, and T loops). Lineage: Bacteria; Pseudomonadati; Pseudomonadota; Gammaproteobacteria; Nevskiales; Nevskiaceae. The record is from RNAcentral.